UAAAUUACGUGCUUUCCGUCCACCA
Molecule: unclassified non-coding RNA, 25 nt
Filed under: Mus musculus (house mouse)
Lineage: Eukaryota; Metazoa; Chordata; Mammalia; Rodentia; Muridae
Description: oocyte_clustered_small_RNA3239
Source: RNAcentral